CAACACUCAAGCCUAGCUUGGUCUUGGGCCUCGCCGGAAACGGCGGGCCUUAAAAGUAGUGGCGGCGCCCGCUGGGCUCUAAGCGUAGUAAUACUCCUCGCUAUAGGGACCCGGUGGAUGCUGGCCAGCAACCCCCAACUUUCUAA
Molecule: unclassified non-coding RNA, 146 nt
Filed under: Gremmenia infestans
Lineage: Eukaryota; Fungi; Ascomycota; Leotiomycetes; Helotiales; Hamatocanthoscyphaceae
Description: partial internal transcribed spacer 2
Source: RNAcentral